This 374-nucleotide unclassified non-coding RNA is filed under the name soil metagenome. Its description in RNAcentral is "partial contains 5.8S ribosomal RNA, internal transcribed spacer 2, and large subunit ribosomal RNA". The stretch from base 1 to 121 matches the Rfam family "5.8S ribosomal RNA", at positions 35 to 154 of the family's 154-position model. The record is from RNAcentral.
GAUGAAGAACGUAGCGAAAUGCGAUAAGUAAUGCGAAUUGCAGAAUUCCAGUGAGUCAUCGAAUCUUUGAACGUACAUUGCGCCCUUUGGUAUUCCGAAGGGCAUGCCUGUUCGAGCGUCAUUAUCACCCCUCAAGCCCUCGGCUUGGUGUUGGACGGUUUGGUGGAGGCCCCCUCGGGGGCUCCUGCCCCUCCCAAAGACAAUGACGGCGGCCUCGUUGGACCCCCGGUACACUGAGUUCUUCACGGGACACGUAUCGGACACACGGGUUUACGGGACACGGUCUGCCUCCCCUCAAGGGAGAAUCUUUCUAAGGUUGACCUCGGAUCAGGUAGGGAUACCCGCUGAACUUAAGCAUAUCAAUAAGCGGAGGA